RNAcentral lists this ribosomal RNA (386 nucleotides) under Rickettsia sp. wq. Its description in RNAcentral is "bacterial SSU rRNA". It matches the Rfam family "Bacterial small subunit ribosomal RNA", at positions 1 to 392 of the family's 1533-position model. The record is from RNAcentral. Lineage: Bacteria; Pseudomonadati; Pseudomonadota; Alphaproteobacteria; Rickettsiales; Rickettsiaceae.
GACAGAAUCAAACUUGAGAGUUUGAUCCUGGCUCAGAACGAACGCUAUCGGUAUGCUUAACACAUGCAAGUCGAACGGACUAAUUGGGGCUUGCUCCAAUUAGUUAGUGGCAGACGGGUGAGUAACACGUGGGAAUCUGCCCAUCAGUACGGAAUAACUUUUAGAAAUAAAAGCUAAUACCGUAUAUUCUCUACGGAGGAAAGAUUUAUCGCUGAUGGAUGAGCCCGCGUCAGAUUAGGUAGUUGGUGAGGUAAUGGCUUACCAAGCCUACGAUCUGUAGCUGGUCUGAGAGGAUGAUCAGCCACACUGGGACUGAGACACGGCCCAGACUCCUACGGGAGGCAGCAGUGGGGAAUAUUGGACAAUGGGCGAAAGCCUGAUCCAGC